UACAGAGGGGGCAAGCGUUGUUCGGAAUUACUGGGCGUAAAGAGCGCGUAGGCGGCUUUAUAAGUCGGGGGUGAAAGCCUGUGGCUCAACCACAGAAUUGCCUUCGAUACUGUAGAGCUUGAGACCGGAAGAGGUAAGUGGAACUGCGAGUGUAGAGGUGAAAUUCGUAGAUAUUCGCAAGAACACCAGUGGCGAAGGCGGCUUACUGGUCCGGUUCUGACGCUGAGGCGCGAAAGCGUGGGGAGCAAACAGG
RNAcentral lists this ribosomal RNA (253 nucleotides) under uncultured bacterium. RNAcentral describes it as "partial 16S ribosomal RNA". It matches the Rfam family "Bacterial small subunit ribosomal RNA", at positions 524 to 776 of the family's 1533-position model. The record is from RNAcentral.